UCUGCACCUUAGAACACACCAUAAAAGGCCAUGUGAGUACUGGAAACAAGUUCGGCGAAUCCCUGGAACCAACCCAUUCCCUCCCGACAGUUCCGGGGAGCAGGCAGGAUAAAGUAAAGCAGAAGGAGGGUGUGCAAAGCUGUAUUCAAAUUAAAAUCAUUUAAGUUGCUUUGGGCUCCUUGGUGCCAAAGUUCUGUAAACAUUCGCUUUCUUUCACUUUUCCUGGAAACGCGUAACCCUUUCACGUCCAACCUAUAGUAGUAUCAUAGGUGCCCUAAUCUGAGAAUUUUGACUGACUAAAUAAAAAAGCACCACUCGUGUAUAAAUAAAAUUAGUGAACUCUACAGAGAGGAGCUUAUUUGCAUAAUCUCUCUAAUGGAAGCACAAGACGAACUGAACGAUGGCAGCAUCUCAUCUGAGCUUGUCUUUAAAAACCCAGUAAAAUCAAUGUAUCUUCACGGAUUUUCCAACAGCCUUGGAGACAGCGGUAGUGGCCCCCUUAGUGGGGGGAGCAACAGGCAGGCCUUCUUACUGUCCAGGGCAAUAGAAAUAAUCUGCUCUCCAUCUCAACCCCACCUACCCCCAUCCCCCACCACCAGGAGCAAAGGUCAGCAGGCUUACUGGCCAGUAUAAGACUGGAGUUCCGGAUUCCUCUUCUGUAAUGCAGCCCACUCCAUGCGCGGGUGUCACCUGGCCCACUGUGUAUCACCCUGUAGGUACUGGGACUUGGUGCACUACUGUAUAUGCUCAUAGUCCAGCCACUGACACUAUGAAUAAUUAAAUCCUUUGCCUCUGACCUGAGUCUCGUACCUUCUGCCAGCAUCCAUGAGACUGUGCAGGCUAACUUCUUAGCUUACAAGUGGGGAAAAUCUCAGACCUUCCCCAGUUCCUGAUAAGCCCUUAGAAUAAUAUGGAGUCUUAGGAACACAGAACUCUCCAGAACCCAAUAUACCGAAGGUACUCAAUGAACACUUCGAGCAACUGAAAUGUCAGUCAGUGUCUCUGCCCUCUUGUAUCUCUACCAUAAGUAGGAGAAGCACUGAAGCAUUCCAGACCCAUGCAAGCAACCUACAGCACCCAGUGACCAGAAACUUCCGAGGAAGAGCAGAUGGAUAGGCGUGAUCUCCAAAAUGGACCUAUGUGUCUCCCUAUUCUCCAAAACAGAGUACCACACCAUCAUAACUGAUGAUCUGACCCAUGACAAUCUUGUGAUGGACCAAAGAUACACUCUAAAAGGACCAAGGCACAUGGCAGUUGUCAAAGACCAAGAGCAGAGGUCCUUGGGAAGUCAAUCCUAAAUCUACCUAUGGAUGUGGCAGCCUCACCUAUUCACAUUCAAGCCAGACACUAUCAGUAGAACCAUCUCUUUUCACUCACAGAUGCUGGAUAAACCAAUAAUUAACCUCACUGAUGCCUCAACUUACACAUCUGCGGAAAGGCGCCCCAUGCGGCUGACAUUUUUACGAAGCAAAAGCCAAAGUUACCCGCCCCCGUAAAGCUCUUAAAUUGUGCUUGCAAACAGGGACACCACGACUCAUUUCACUCUAAACCUGACAACCUAGCGCGCUCCAGCUGGAGACCACAGAAGGUAACAGGCAAAGUGGAAACUUUUCUCAGAGAUAAAACUAGUUCCUCUAAACAGUUUAGAAAAGCAUGUGCUUCCUGGGUCUGGACUCGGCAAGAUGCUCCCAUGAGGUGGGAGAAAGAAUCAAGAGGUGGGGAGGGGCGCGAGGCCCCAAUUUGGAGCCAGUCCGCGGCUCCACGUGGCAUACGUCACAGCGUCUCUACUCGAGAGGCCCGUGCCUGACUUUUUCCUCCGAAGAAAGUGUUCCACCGGGGGCGGGGCCAAAGUAGCCAGCGACUCUUUGGAAUCGGCCCGGAGCAAAUCGCCCAGCCCCUCCUUGCGAGGACAGGACACUGCCCCUACUCCCGGCGCAUCCUGGGAGUUGUAGUCCCGCAGCUCUGCAAGCUACCAGCUCGGAGUAGUAUAGAGACUACAGCUCCCAAAGCGCCUAGCGCGGGGCCCCGCCCCUCUUCGCGCUGAGGGCGGGCUCCUCACUGAACGCGACUUUCCCCACAUCUCUCCAGCUCCCGGAGACGGGGUGCUUCCUGAGUGGCCCACGACGGCCAGACUCACCCUGUAAUUAUGAUAGUGCGUCUCCACAAGAUGCCGGUGGCGCGACUUGUCAUGGCCGAAGUUGGAUUUCUCGCAGACCAGCAAGUGUCGGGGAACCUCUCGCAGCCUGCGCAGUGUGGCCAUGCUUUCUCCGGCACAAGCCCUGAGCGAGGUCGGGGAGCCCAGUCCCUCCGCUUCGCUCCGCCCCUCCGCCUGGCCCCGCGGGCAUGCGCAUUGCAGCUGCGCAGUGCCGGUUGAAGCUGCUCGGGCUUGGUGACCGGUUAGGGGUGAGGGCGGGCCUGGGUUUCUUCGGAACCUUAGGUUCCUGAACCUUGGGUGCCUGGAACCGCAAAUUCAUUGCCUACAGGGGAAAUACCUGGUACCUGGAAACCUGGAACUAGCUUUUUCAAACCCACCUUUCUCGCCAAAACCUCCGUCCCUCCCUGCUGCUGCCUUGCCGUAUAUCCUCCCUCUGUUCCUUCACAAAUGGUUUAGGAGUUUUGUGCAGGAAGAUAAUACACAAUUUCUGUUUUCGGCCCUACAAUACGACUCCGUCGGAACCACUUUAAGAUCCCUUUUUAAAAAUCCCACCUGAACGGCUUUAAAAAUUUUGUUACUAUUGUUACAAUGUGAGAAUUCGUUUUUCCAUAAUUUUUCUGAUCAAGUACUAUACGUUUCUCAAGCUGGAGUAUGCACAGCCCCAAUUCUGUGCUGAGAGGAUGCAAAACAGCAGACUAUCUGUGGUACAACUGUCUGGAGCGUCAAUUUUACUGUAAGAUUUGGAACAACCGAAGUUACGUAAUUUACAAGGUGGGAGCAGCAGGGAAGGUGGUGCUGGGAACUGUAACUAUUAAAGACACCAGUAAUAAAUCAGAGGACUCCAUCCUGCCAAGCCUAAACUUGACCUCACAGUCUUUAUCAGAACAGGGCUCCAGGCAGCUGCCACGAAUGGCAGGCAGCCUGGGAACUGGAUCCAGCAGGUACAGUGGAAAAAAUCAGCGGCCCCCAAGAAUAUAUGAUGCACUCCAAGUGAGGACUUGAAUCCCUGGAGUUUUGGGAAGGGCUCAGAGCCAGACUGCUUCAUGUCCUCUCCCUCUGACUGGUUGGGAAUCGAUGGAACAUGCAAACAUAUUAACACUGGCAGCUGUGUGGACUGUGUCAACACAUGGAAGUGCACAAAUGGAGUAUUUUAAAACAGAACACAAUGUUAUAUGUCAAUUGUAUCUCAAUAAAUCUGGGGGAGAAAAGCAGAACCCAAAACAGUCACACCGUCUGACUAAAACUCUGUCACAUAUGUUCAUUACAAUUUUGGAAGAGGAUUUUGAAAUGGUUGACAUUUUUUAUAAAGCUCAUUCUUUUGUUUAAAGUGAAAAACAUAUGUUUAGAAGUAAAUUGGUACAUAAAAAAUUUAAAUCUUAGCUAUCCAGGGACUUCAGAUAUCUAGGAUGAGGCAUUUCUGUUUAUCUUGGAUUUUACUAUAAUGUGAAAACUAUUAAU
Molecule: long non-coding RNA, 3613 nt
Organism: Acinonyx jubatus (cheetah)
Lineage: Eukaryota; Metazoa; Chordata; Mammalia; Carnivora; Felidae
Exons: 4
Source: RefSeq, a predicted model, not a curated record